CCUUACGGCCAUACCAGCCUGGGUACGCCCGAUCUCGUCUGAUCUCGGAAGCUAAGCAGGGUCGGGCCUGGUUAGUACUUGGAUGGGAGACCGCCUGGGAAUACCAGGUGCUGUAAGCA
Molecule: ribosomal RNA, 119 nt
Filed under: Salmo salar (Atlantic salmon)
Lineage: Eukaryota; Metazoa; Chordata; Actinopteri; Salmoniformes; Salmonidae
Source: RNAcentral